UUCCUUAAGCUACAAAUCGAUCUUUUAAUACAUUAAACUAGAGCUCCCAAGUAAGUUUCAGGUUUUCUCAAGAAUAUAGCCAGUGGAAUAACAGCGGUAUGGUACCGCAAAGUGCCUAAUCUGCACGAGAUUGGCCGGCACGGGAUGAGAGGAUGAUGCCCACAAUGAGACCAUACAGGGCAAGCGCUUCUGCGAAAAUGAGGAUGAGGAUCAUGCCCACGAAAAGCUUUGGUUGCUG
This 238-nucleotide unclassified non-coding RNA is filed under the name Hevea brasiliensis (rubber tree). The record is from RNAcentral. Lineage: Eukaryota; Viridiplantae; Streptophyta; Magnoliopsida; Malpighiales; Euphorbiaceae.